Molecule: long non-coding RNA, 1480 nt
Filed under: Bemisia tabaci
Lineage: Eukaryota; Metazoa; Arthropoda; Insecta; Hemiptera; Aleyrodidae
Description: lncRNA ENSASIAIIG007557
Source: RNAcentral
CCUUGGCACAAGUUAAAAUCAUAAACAAUUAUUCAGUUUAAACAGGUGGGGGGGGGGGACCACUGCAGAUAGAAAGGGAAAUUCCUCAUCGCGCGUGACAAAAAGAGCAGUUUUCCAAAACGAAAGGUUAAGACAUAUGAGUGGAAAUUUGAAGUUUCCUAGUGCCAAUGCGUAUUUUUAAAAUUUAAAGCCCGUUCAUUUGCAUGUUUUGAUUAAGCAUCCUUAAGUUCUGACUUGUGGUCAUACCGAUCAGGUAUUUCUUAGUAUUUUAUCAUGAUUAGGAACAUGAAAAAUCUGAAAUACGAGAAAACAAAUAUUUGAAUAUUUUUAUGAAUGUAUGUGUAAAAAAGACAUCGUGGAAAUUACUACAGACAGGCUGUAUUGUGCUGCAAAACUCACUCUGUCAAAUCACGGUACAAUGAAGACCUAAUCACACACGAUGCUGUGUUGCGUUAAUUCAAAUUCUCAUCGAUUCCCGCUGCAGUCUCUGAUUGGCCGAUUAUUUCAAGCGUGACGCCACAAAAACUUCAACAAUAUUCUCUGUGAAUUAUAAAUUUACAAUCAAUUGAAUAUUGGAAUUUUCUAAGCCACUGAUAAGAUAAGUUAACACACUUUUGUUCAUGAUAUAAUACAGAAUAUAUUUAACGAUUACUAAAAUUUGGUUAGCAAAAAUGGCGAUCCCUGGAGUUGCUCGCUUUGUUCGAUUUUGGAUGAGAGUGUUUGUAUUCCUGCGCACGCAAACAGCUGAUUCUCCAAUGAAAAAAUAACAAAACACGAUUAGUGAUCUGUUGGUCGGCUGUACGCAUGUCUCGUGUUUGCCGAGUAAACCCUUCAGCACCUAUUAGAAUACCUAUCCCUUUAGGUAUGUAAGCUCAUUUUAAGUAGUUUUUGUUCGUUUAGCUGUCUAUUUUGUUCCCGUUCUUUUCUAAAGAAUUUCCAUGAAAAUUUAGUGAGCGUUUCGUUGUCUAACUCGAUUAGCUGCAGCUCAUUUCUUUGCCUUCAUCGUAAAUCCUCAAGCAUUCCUACCCGAAGACUCAACCAUGCAAACUCGAAAAGUUUUUUAGCAUCCAGGUAAAUUACAUUAUGAUAGUACUUAGUUUGACAUAAUUUGUCCUUCAUUAUCAUCCCUGAACUGUGAGUUUGUAGGAUUACAAAACCUAGAUUCUAUCAAAUAAAUACUGCACUGCCAGUAGGUAAGCAGACCGCUCUCUACUUACAUUUUUGGCAACUUUCUUGAGGCGUUAUAAUAUUCUGUUCCUCAAGUUCCUUAACCUCUAGGUAAACAAGGUAAGACAAGUGUUUAUUUUUCACCUGACUGUCAGCCUCUGCUAAAUGCUCAUUUACAUUGUCGCACAGAAUUUCGUAUUUCGUUUUCAGUUCUUAAAGUGCUGCUUAUUUAGUCAGUUAGUCGUCACAACAUGAAUGAACGUUCUUUUUGAAUCUCUACGGAAGUAGAUUGUUCUUCACAUACCUCCGAUCU